GAUGAACGCUGGCGGCGUGCCUAAUACAUGCAAGUCGAGCGAACGGACGAGAAGCUUGCUUCUCUGAUGUUAGCGGCGGACGGGUGAGUAACACGUGGAUAACCUACCUAUAAGACUGGGAUAACUUCGGGAAACCGGAGCUAAUACCGGAUAAUAUUUUGAACCGCAUGGUUCAAAAGUGAAAGACGGUCUUGCUGUCACUUAUAGAUGGAUCCGCGCUGCAUUAGCUAGUUGGUAAGGUAACGGCUUACCAAGGCAACGAUGCAUAGCCGACCUGAGAGGGUGAUCGGUCACACUGGAACUGAGACACGGUCCAGACUCCUACGGGAGGCAGCAGUAGGGAAUCUUCCGCAAUGGGCGAAAGCCUGACGGAGCAACGCCGCGUGAGUGAUGAAGGUCAUCGGAUCGUAAAACUCUGUUAUUAGGGAAGAACAUAUGUGUAAGUAACUGUGCACAUCUUGACGGUACCUAAUCAGAAAGCCACGGCUAACUACGUG
This 497-nucleotide ribosomal RNA is filed under the name uncultured bacterium. Its description in RNAcentral is "partial 16S ribosomal RNA". It matches the Rfam family "Bacterial small subunit ribosomal RNA", at positions 28 to 507 of the family's 1533-position model. The record is from RNAcentral.